AUGAACCCAUUGGCGAAAAUUCCUGGCUCCCCUCCUGCCGGAGGCUCUUCGUAUGUGUCUGCUGGUCCGGCUACUCAGCAGCUGGCUCUACCUUGCGUUGAUGAUCCAGGAACGGCCGCUGGUGAUAUGAGACAGAGUCUCUUCGAAGGUUCGAGCCUUGGACUUGGCCAAUUUCGUGCUCCGUCCAUAGUUAAUCGACCACGCGUGGUUCCACUGCGCAAGUUAGCCCUGACCGUAGAACAAUCGUUCUACGUAUUGGCUACUCCCGUUAUGGAACAUGCUGAUAUAUUGCGUAAUCGACGCAAGCGGAGGUUGAUAUGGAGUUACCGGUCGGGAAGGAAGAAAGUUCGGGGGAUGGAACCUCCUUUACCAAAGGAGCAUAUUCUUUUGCUUAAAGCUACAUCUAGAGGUUGUUCCUAUUAUGGUGGGCCGGAAUUUAGUUGCCAGAGGUGUGGGGCUUUAUACUGGUUUCGUGAAGGAUCCAGGUACCAUGCAGACGCGAAUGCUCGCCAGCCUAUUUAUAUAGGUUGUUGUCGUGGUGGCAAAAUUGAUCACAAUAUCAAUAUUGGUGGUGCUCCUUAUGUGUUCAAAAUGAAUGGAGUGGUGUACCAUCAUAUUGGUUCACUUCUACCCAUUGGAGGCUCUUCUCCAAAAUUUGCGCAGUUAUAUAUGGUGGACUCUGCUGAUGAGGUCAGGAGCAGAAUUAAUGUAUUUGGUAGAGAGGGAAAUGGUUCUCUUGAGCCUGAUCUUGAAAUUGUGACGGCCCUCAUUCAAAUGUUGAACAUGCAUCACCGUUUGGUCCAUAAAUUUAGAAUUGCUCGGCAAAGUUUGUGCAGUCCUGAUGUGUCCAAGGUGUCUAUACAUUUUUUGGGUGAUGAUGGCGGUCCUCAUGUGGGUGCAAGUGUUCCAACUAUUGAUCAGUUGGAUGAUUAUGAUGAUGAUGACGACAAUGGUAAUACUACGGUUUCCCAAGAUGUUAGAGCUUCCCGUGGAGAAUAUCAUUUCCGGAAGCAAGAUAAACUUCGUUUGGAGUAUCAUUUCCGGAAGGAAGAUAAACUUCGUUCAGAGACUUAUCAGGGUAUAUCUGAUGCAAUGGGUGAAGGUAAUUCUACAGGAAAGAAUAUUGGUGUUCACUUCAUAUUGCAUGGCAGUUUCACUGGUGGGCGACAUUACAUGUUGCUAAAUUAUCAUGAUGGAAUGGCCAUAUGUUGUGAGUAUGGUGCUCCCGAUCUAUUUGUUACGUUCACAUGCAAUCCUAAGUGGCAGGAGAUUGCCGAUGCUCUUGCUGCUGAGCCUGGACAGAGUGCUGCUGAUCGACCAGACAUUACUACUCGAGUUUUUAAUAUGAAGUUUGAUGAAUUUUUGGAUGGCGUGAAAGAUGGUUCUUCAUUUGGUCCUAUUCAAGCAUAUGUAUCUACCAAGGAGUCAAGGUCCUUCACCUUGGCAACCUCGGGACGGUGGCGUCGAGGUCCUCCACCUCGGCAACCUCGAGACGGUGGCGUCGAGGUCCUCCACCUCGACGACCUCCAGACGGUGAUGUCAAGGUCCUCCACCUCGGCGACCUCCGGCAUCGCAAUCACCUGGACAAUCAUCUGUAUGACGCGGUCGCCGGGCUUCACAGCAAAGUCCGCCUCCGAGUUGUUGAAGAGCACGACACCCAUCGGGUCGCGGUAG
This 1674-nucleotide ribosomal RNA is filed under the name Triticum aestivum (bread wheat). RNAcentral describes it as "partial small subunit ribosomal RNA". The record is from RNAcentral. Lineage: Eukaryota; Viridiplantae; Streptophyta; Magnoliopsida; Poales; Poaceae.